UAGGGAAUAUUGCGCAAUGGGGGAAACCCUGACGCAGCAACGCCGCGUGAGUGAGGAAGGUCUUCGGAUUGUAAAACUCUUUUAUUUGGGAAAAAUGUCCUAGUGGCUAAUAUCCACUAGGAGUGAUGGUACCAAAGGAAUAAGGACCGGCUAACUUCGUGCCAGCAGCCGCGGUAAUACGAAGGGUCCAAGCGUUGUUCGGAAUCAUUGGGCGUAAAGCGCGCGCAGGCGGAUCAGUAAGUCAGGUGUGAAAUCUCGAGGCUCAACCUCGAAAUUGCGCCUGAAACUACUAGUCUAGAAUGUCGGAGGGGGCAGGGGAAUUUCACGUGUAGGGGUAAAAUCCGUAGAGAUGUGAAGGAACACCGGAGGCGAAGGCGCCUGCCUGGACGACUAUUGACGCUGAGGCGCGAAAGCGUGGGGAGCAAACAGG
This 430-nucleotide ribosomal RNA is filed under the name uncultured bacterium. Its description in RNAcentral is "bacterial SSU rRNA". It matches the Rfam family "Bacterial small subunit ribosomal RNA", at positions 355 to 776 of the family's 1533-position model. The record is from RNAcentral.